GCGACGACGGGUAGCCGGCCUGAGAGGGCGACCGGCCACACUGGGACUGAGACACGGCCCAGACUCCUACGGGAGGCAGCAGUGGGGAAUAUUGCACAAUGGGCGAAAGCCUGAUGCAGCGACGCCGCGUGAGGGAUGACGGCCUUCGGGUUGUAAACCUCUUUCAGCAGGGAAGAAGCGAGAGUGACGGUACCUGCAGAAGAAGCGCCGGCUAACUACGUGCCAGCAGCCGCGGUAAUACGUAGGGCGCAAGCGUUGUCCGGAAUUAUUGGGCGUAAAGAGCUCGUAGGCGGCUUGUCACGUCGGAUGUGAAAGCCCGGGGCUUAACCCCGGGUCUGCAUUCGAUACGGGCAGGCUAGAGUUCGGUAGGGGAGAUCGGAAUUCCUGGUGUAGCGGUGAAAUGCGCAGAUAUCAGGAGGAACACCGGUGGCGAAGGCGGAUCUCUGGGCCGAUACUGACGCUGAGGAGCGAAAGCGUGGGGAGCGAACAGGAUUAGAUACCCUGGUAGUCCACGCCGUAAACGUUGGGAACUAGGUGUGGGCGACAUUCCACGUCGU
This 557-nucleotide ribosomal RNA is filed under the name Streptomyces sp. Its description in RNAcentral is "bacterial SSU rRNA". It matches the Rfam family "Bacterial small subunit ribosomal RNA", at positions 273 to 840 of the family's 1533-position model. Lineage: Bacteria; Bacillati; Actinomycetota; Actinomycetes; Kitasatosporales; Streptomycetaceae. The record is from RNAcentral.